GAUAAACGCUGGCGGCGUGCAUAACACAUGCAAGUCGAACGAAGUGACGAACGGGUGAGUAACACGUGAGUAACCUGCCUUACACAAGGGGAUAGCCUUUGGAAACGAAGAAUAAUACCCACUAGUGUAAGAUGGACUUGCGUCUGAUUAGCUAGUUGGUGAGAUAAAAGCCCAGCAAGGCGACGAUCAGUAGCCGGCUUGAGAGAGUGUACGGACACAUUGGGACUGUGACACGGCGCAAACUCUACGGGAGGCAGCAGUGGGGAAGUUUGCACAAUGGGGGAAACCCUGAGGCAGCGACGCCGCGUGAUUUAGAAGGCCUGCGGGUUGUAAAAAUCUUUUUUAUGGGAAGCAGUACCAUAAGAAUAAGGUCCGGCUAAAUACGUGCCAGCAGCCGCGGUAAUAC
This 406-nucleotide ribosomal RNA is filed under the name uncultured bacterium. Its description in RNAcentral is "partial 16S ribosomal RNA". It matches the Rfam family "Bacterial small subunit ribosomal RNA", at positions 28 to 526 of the family's 1533-position model. The record is from RNAcentral.